RNAcentral lists this ribosomal RNA (459 nucleotides) under uncultured Streptococcus sp. Its description in RNAcentral is "partial 16S ribosomal RNA". It matches the Rfam family "Bacterial small subunit ribosomal RNA", at positions 341 to 792 of the family's 1533-position model. Lineage: Bacteria; Bacillati; Bacillota; Bacilli; Lactobacillales; Streptococcaceae. The record is from RNAcentral.
ACGGAAGGCAGCAGUAGGGAAUCUUCGGCAAUGGGGGCAACCCUGACCGAGCAACGCCGCGUGAGUGAAGGAGGUUUUCGGAUCGUAAAGCUCUGUUGUAAGAGAAGAACGUGUGUGAGAGUGGAAAGUUCACACAGUGACGGUAACUUACCAGAAAGGGACGGCUAACUACGUGCCAGCAGCCGCGGUAAUACGUAGGUCCCGAGCGUUGUCCGGAUUUAUUGGGCGUAAAGCGAGCGCAGGCGGUUUAAUAAGUCUGAAGUUAAAGGUAGUGGCUUAACCAUUGUUCGCUUUGGAAACUGUUAGACUUGAGUGCAGAAGGGGAGAGUGGAAUUCCAUGUGUAGCGGUGAGAUGCGUAGAUAUAUGGAGGAACACCGGUGGCGAAAGCGGCUCCCUGGUCUGUAACUGACGCUGAGGCUCGAAAGCGUGGGGAGCAAACAGGAUUAGAUACCCUGGUA